RNAcentral lists this ribosomal RNA (1323 nucleotides) under metagenome. RNAcentral's name for it is "bacterial LSU rRNA". It matches the Rfam family "Bacterial large subunit ribosomal RNA", at positions 1561 to 2925 of the family's 2925-position model. The record is from RNAcentral.
AGUGGAUGGGGAGCAACCUAGUUGUGCGUGUGUAAAGGUAGUGCCAAGAAAAGCGAUGAUCAUGUUGAAAAUCAAUUCCCGGUACCCGAAACCGACACAGGUGGGCAAGUAGAGAAUACUAAGGGGCGCGAGGUAACUCUCUCCAAGGAACUCGGCAAAAUGACCCCGUAACUUAGGGAGAAGGGGUGCCACCGAGAGGUGGUCGCAGUGAAGAGGCCCAGGCGACUGUUUAGCAAAAACAUAGGUCUCUGCAAACUCGAAAGAGGAGGUAUAGGGGCUGACGCCUGCCAGUGCCGGAAGGUUAAAGAAGUUGGUCAGUCUUAGGAUGAAGCUAGCGACUGAAGCCCCGGUGAACGGCGGCCGUAACUAUAACGGUCCUAAGGUAGCGAAAUUCCUUGUCGGGUAAGUUCCGACCCGCACGAAAGGCGUAACGAUCUGGGCGCUGUCUCGGAGAGAGGCUCGGCGAAAUAGGAUUGUCUGUGAAGAUACGGACUACCUGCAUUUGGACAGAAAGACCCUAUGAAGCUUUACUAUAGCUUGGAAUUGUGUUCGGGCUUCCUGUGCGCAGUAUAGGUGGGAGGCGUAGAAGGUAUUCUUGUGGGGAUACUGGAGCCAACGGUGAGAUACCACUCUCAGGAGGCUAGAAUUCUAACUUAAUUAAGGACAGUUUCAGGUGUAGUUUGACUGGGGCGGUCGCCUCCAAAAAGGUAACGGAGGCGUACAAAGGUUCCCUCAGACUGGUUGGAAAUCAGUCGAAGAGUGCAAAGGCAGAAGGGAGCUUGACUGCGAGAAGUACAGUUCGAGCAGGGUGGAAACACGGUCUUAGUGAUCCGACGGUGCUGUGUGGAAGGGCCGUCGCUCAACGGAUAAAAGUUACUCUAAGGAUAACAGGCUGAUCUCCCCCAAGAGUUCACAUCGACGGGGAGGUUUGGCACCUCGAUGUCGGCUCAUCGCAACCUGGGGCGGAAGUACGUCCCAAGGGUUGGGCUGUUCGCCCAUUAAAGCGGUACGUGAGCUGGGUUCAGAACGUCGUGAGACAGUUCGGUCCAUAUCCGAUGUAGGCGUGAGAAUAUUGAGAGGAGCCUUCCUUAGUACGAGAGGACCGGGAAGGACGCACCGCUGGUGUACCUGUUAUGAUGCCAAUUGUAAAUGCAGGGUAGCCAAGUGCGGAGAGGAUAACCGCUGAAAGCAUCUAAGAGGGAAGCCCACCUCAAGAUGAGUAUUCUGGUGUAAGGUCACGGGAAGACGACCCGUAAAUAGGCACGAGGUGGAAGUGCAGAGAUGUAUGAAGCCGAAGUGUACUAAUAGACCGUCGGCUUGACC